This 210-nucleotide ribosomal RNA is filed under the name Siganus guttatus (goldlined spinefoot). RNAcentral describes it as "partial 16S ribosomal RNA". Lineage: Eukaryota; Metazoa; Chordata; Actinopteri; Siganidae. The record is from RNAcentral.
GCCCAUUAGCUAGCCCGCCACCCAAAACCAACAUACCCCCAUACAUACCCCCAAAUACACUUAAUUACCUCAAAACAAACCAUUUUUCCCCCUUAGUAUAGGCGAUAGAAAAGGACUUAAGGAGCAACAGAGAAAGUACCGCAAGGGAAAGCUGAAAGAGAAAUGAAACAACCCAGUAAAGCAUAAAAAAGCAGAGAUACCCCCUCGUAC